Molecule: unclassified non-coding RNA, 163 nt
Filed under: uncultured Leotiomycetes
Lineage: Eukaryota; Fungi; Ascomycota; Leotiomycetes
Description: sequence contains ITS1
Source: RNAcentral
CAGAGCAUCGUGCCCUUCGGGGUAGAUCUCCCACCCUGUGUCUUAUGUUACUUGCGUUGCUUUGGCGGGCCGCCUCCUCGGCCACCGGCUCCGGCUGGUGCGCGCCCGCCAGAGGACCCCAAACCCUGAAUGUUAGUGUCGUCUGAGUACUAUAUAAUAGUUA